RNAcentral lists this unclassified non-coding RNA (1731 nucleotides) under Hevea brasiliensis (rubber tree). Lineage: Eukaryota; Viridiplantae; Streptophyta; Magnoliopsida; Malpighiales; Euphorbiaceae. The record is from RNAcentral.
UUUGAACUGGGUCACUCUCUGGUCCGCGUUUCAGCAGCCAGUUUUGGUACAGAUCAGUGAUCAUUGUUCUUUCUAUGUUUAUUUGAUAUUUUCUUUCGAUCUCCACUUCCGUUUCAGGUUUUCUUUAGUGUUCAAUAUUACCAUGUUAUGAUUUUCUAGCAUUUCUUGUGAUUGGACUCUCUAGUUUUCAGUACGUUUGGUUUAUGCCCUUUCAGAUCAAAUUCAUUCUCAAUUUUAAAGUUUUUAGUAUUUCUCGUGCGUAUAGUAGCAAUAAAGGGUGGUUCUUGUUUUUGGAUUUACUGGUUUUAAUCUGGCUUUGGAGUCUGAUAAGAAUUCAGUAGAUCUGAUACACGUGUCCUUUAAAUGGAUUUGCAUUUGAAGAGCCUGUUUGAUAGAUUCCAGGAGCAAUUUGGAUCUGGUCCGGGGCUUGGUCCUGGUUCAGGGACCUGCUUGAUGACGGUGGAGGGUAUUGCUCCUAAUUUCAUCAAGUCAAUUUACAAAGCUUGCGCUGCACUUUACAGAACUGAUCCAUGGAGAAGAUUGCGUCCACCACAUUUUUUUUGGAAUCCGGGUAGGGAAGGACUCAGAUUGGUCCAGCAAGAAACAACCUUUCCCAUGUGUUCAGUUCAUAGGAGGUGAUGGUGGGGAUGUUGGCUUUUACUUGUUUCGAUCUGAAAAUGAUGCUAAGAAGAUGACAGGGUCUAGAGAGACAAUUUGUGUUCCUAAUGUUGAGCUUUUGAGGGUCACAUAUGAACCUGAAUCGUUGAUGUUUCCUUCUAAUAGGAAAAUGAUCAAGUCGUUGUCACUGGAAGUAUCAGGUACUGAUAGAUUUCCUGUAAUUGAUGUUGCACGUUGUAUGUCUUCUGGUGUUCUUCGGUUUAGACAUCCAACUCUUGAGGAGCUUAGGUUUGUGUAUGCGUUAGUGAAAGCCAUGUCUCUGGUGCAUCCUUUACUUCAGGAAGAUAAAGAAGGUGCUCCAAAGUGGUCAAAGUUGAUGUAUUUUGAACCAUUUAUUGAGACUGUUGACGUUAACUGGCCUCCAGAAAUGGCCAAGGGUUACGACCUUGUUGCAGUUACAAUCUCGCAUCCGCCUGGUCAAGCAUAUGAGGAAAAGGGAAGCUCGACAGCGAGCUCGACACCCACCAAGUAUGCUGAACGACCCAGGGAAGAGAUCUUUAUUGAUAUGAGAGCAAACUCAAAUUCCAACUUGAGGAAGUGCAUAAUGUGUGAGAAAGAAGUUCAUGGAGAACAGGCUCUCUCUUGUGGGCAGUGUCGAGCAGUGGUCUACUGUGAUUCUUUCUGCCAGAAGCAGCACUGGAAGGAAACACAUAAGAGCAUGUGCGGCCUUUACAAGGCUAUGAUGGAAAGGGAAGAAGAGCUAGUAAUAAAAAUCUUUGUGUUCCCCUGUUCUGCUGAACAACCCUGUAAAUGGCUCGAGUCAUUAGGUGUCCAUCAGAAAGGAAUGUGGAGGAGAAAGUGUAGCUGCUAUUCUCACUGCCCCUUUGGACUCCUUCCUGUUAAAGGUGGAUUGUGGAAUUCAUGGGGUGGGCUGGACGACAAUGAGUAUCCUCGUGAUUCACCUUUUCUCAACCAUUUAGGAGAUGGGAUAUCGAGCCCAAUCCUUCUUUCUGGUUGGCCAGAGUACUAUAAUCUUCGGUCACUGCCACUGUCAAGCCCUGUUGCUGACAUUCUUUCUCACCCACUGACAGUUUAUUACAUUUUGACUACCCU